RNAcentral lists this ribosomal RNA (594 nucleotides) under uncultured Bacteroidales bacterium. Its description in RNAcentral is "bacterial SSU rRNA". It matches the Rfam family "Bacterial small subunit ribosomal RNA", at positions 127 to 719 of the family's 1533-position model. The record is from RNAcentral. Lineage: Bacteria; Pseudomonadati; Bacteroidota; Bacteroidia; Bacteroidales.
UGCCGUCUACUCUUGGACAGCCUUCUGAAAGGAAGAUUAAUACAAGAUGGCAUCAUGAGUCCGCAUGUUCACAUGAUUAAAGGUAUUCCGGUAGACGAUGGGGAUGCGUUCCAUUAGAUAGUAGGCGGGGUAACGGCCCACCUAGUCUUCGAUGGAUAGGGGUUCUGAGAGGAAGGUCCCCCACAUUGGAACUGAGACACGGUCCAAACUCCUACGGGAGGCAGCAGUGAGGAAUAUUGGUCAAUGGGCGAGAGCCUGAACCAGCCAAGUAGCGUGAAGGAUGACUGCCCUAUGGGUUGUAAACUUCUUUUAUAAAGGAAUAAAGUCGGGUAUGCAUACCCGUUUGCAUGUACUUUAUGAAUAAGGAUCGGCUAACUCCGUGCCAGCAGCCGCGGUAAUACGGAGGAUUCGAGCGUUAUCCGGAUUUAUUGGGUUUAAAGGGAGCGUAGAUGGAUGUUUAAGUCAGUUGUGAAAGUUUGCGGCUCAACCGUAAAAUUGCAGUUGAUACUGGAUAUCUUGAGUGCAGUUGAGGCAGGCGGAAUUCGUGGUGUAGCGGUGAAAUGCUUAGAUAUCACGAAGAACUCCGAUUGCGAA